UACGUAGGGGGCAAGCGUUGUCCGGAUUUAUUGGGCGUAAAGAGCGUGUAGGCGGCUAGGUAGGUGGGUUGUGAAAACUGGAGGCUCAACCUUCAGACGUCGACCCAAACCCCCUGGCUAGAGUCCGGGAGAGGAGAGUGGAAUUCCUGGUGUAGCGGUGAAAUGCGCAGAUAUCAGGAAGAACACCCGUGGCGAAAGCGGCUCUCUGGAACGGUACUGACGCUGAGACGCGAAAGCGUGGGGAGCGAACAGG
RNAcentral lists this ribosomal RNA (253 nucleotides) under uncultured bacterium. RNAcentral's name for it is "partial 16S ribosomal RNA". It matches the Rfam family "Bacterial small subunit ribosomal RNA", at positions 524 to 776 of the family's 1533-position model. The record is from RNAcentral.